UCUUUGAGUCUCACUUAAGGAGGAGGUGGC
Molecule: non-coding RNA, 30 nt
Filed under: Mus musculus (house mouse)
Lineage: Eukaryota; Metazoa; Chordata; Mammalia; Rodentia; Muridae
Source: RNAcentral